AAUCCUUUAACGAGGAACUAUUGGAGGGCAAGUCUGGUGCCAGCAGCCGCGGUAAUUCCAGCUCCAAUAGCGUAUAUUAAAGUUGUUGCGUCUAAAAAGCUCGUAGUUUGAAAACUUGCCUUGGCUUACAACAGACGUCUAAGGGCGUCACCGUUUGUCGAGAGCAAAUAUGGGUGACUGUUCUUGCCUUCUUCACUGAUUGGCUCGUAAAAGUCAUCGAAGAUCACUUUGAUUAAAUUAGGGUGCUCAAAGCAAGUGUGCUACUUGAAUAUGAAUGCAUGGAAUGAUGGAAUAUGUUGUUGUUCUAUUUGUUGGUUUUUUGAAUGACGAAAUGAUUGAAAGGAACUGUUGGGGGCAUUCGUAUUGUUGUGAGAGAGGUGAAAUUCUUAGACCAUAGCAAGACGAACUACUGCGAAAGCAUUUGCCAAGAAUGUUUUCAUUGAUCAAGAACGAAAGUUAGAGGUUCGAAGGCGAUCAGAUACCGCCCUAGUUCUAACCAUAAACUAUGCCGACUAGCAAUUUGCUUUGUAUUUUUAUGACUAAGUGAGAGGCCACGGGAAACCAAAGUAGGGUUAUGGGGGAAGAAUGGUUGCAAAGCUGAAACUUAAAGGAAUUGACGGAAGGGCACCACCAGGAGUGGAGCCUGCGGCUUAAUUUGACCCAACACGGGAAAACUUACCUGGUCCUGACACUAGAAGGAUUGACAGAUUGAUAGCUCUUUCUUGAUUUGGUGGAUGGUGGUGCAUGGCCGUUCUUAGUUGGUGGAGUGAUUUGUCUGGUUAAUUCCGAUAACGAACGAGACUCUAGCCUAUUAAAUAAUAUGCGGAAUCAAUUUCUCCCGCGUUAUUUCUUAAUGGAAUCAAGCGUGUUUAACGCUUUGAAACAGAGCAAUAACAGGUCUGUGGUGCCCUUAGAUGUUCGGGGCUGCACGCGCGCUACAUUGAAGAACAAAGUGAGCCCUCUGGCUUUUAACAAAGCUAGAAAUCUUUUAAUGUUCUUCUUAAUGGGGAUAGGGGAUUGCAAUUGUGCCCCUUGAACGAGGAAUUCCCAGUAAGUGCUAGUCAUUAGCUAGUACUGAUUACGUCCCUGCCCUUUGUACACACCGCCCGUCGCUACUACCGAUUGAAUAGUUUAGUGAGAUCAUCUGAGUGUUUGUAUGUGCAUUCUGUGCUUGUAUGGUGUACGAAGAAGAUCAAACUUGAUUAUUUAGAGGAAGUAAAAGUCGUAACAAGGUUUCCGUAGGUGAACCUGCGGAAG
Molecule: ribosomal RNA, 1257 nt
Filed under: metagenome
Description: SSU rRNA
Rfam family: Eukaryotic small subunit ribosomal RNA
Source: RNAcentral